This 401-nucleotide long non-coding RNA is filed under the name Pelobates cultripes (western spadefoot toad). Lineage: Eukaryota; Metazoa; Chordata; Amphibia; Anura; Pelobatidae. The record is from RNAcentral.
AUCUCGGGAGGGGCACUUGUAGAUUAUUUAAAGAAAUAAUCCAGACACAAUAACUACUACAGCUCAGUGUAGUGGUUAUGGUGUCAAUAGUGCCGGGACCCCCUCCUAGAGUAAGUAGUCAAACCGUUUAAGAACAGUUUGACAACUUACCUGAGGUCUGCUGGGAAAUGGGACGGUAGUAGGGCAUAGGAGCAGUGGUGUGUGUGAGUGGUGCAAUGUGUAAGGGGUGCAGUGUGUGUGUGUGUGAGGGGGACAGUGUGUGAGCAGUGUGUGUGUGUGUGUGUGAAGGUUGUAGUGUGUGAGUAGGGGGGCAGUGUAUGUCAGGGAUGCAGUGUAUGUGUGGGACAGUAUGUGUGUGUAACAGUUGCAGUGUGUGUGUGAGUGUGGGCAAUGUGUGUGUG